GAUGUGUAUCCAAAUUAACAAGAUGGCAUAGCAUCCAUCUGGAACAGAGGUCUGCAGACUUUUUCAGCAGGGGGCCAGUCCACUGUCCCUCAGACCUUGGGGGGUGGCGGCGGACUAUAUUUUGGAAAAAAUAUAUGAACGAAUUCCUAUGCCCCACAAAUAACCCAGAGAUGCAUUUUAAAUAAAAACACACAUUCUACUUGUUAAGUUGUGGGUGAACAUAUCAGAUGAUACAGCGAUUCUUCAAACAGCUCUUGUUUAUUCACAGGCCAGAACAGAACUGAACUGAAGGGUUCAACCAGCCUGCUUAUAUAGAGCUCCAGUACAACGCAACUGUAACAACUUUCUGUAACUAUCCAAUCAUUGAAUGUCACUUUCAAUCCCUUAUUUGCAUAUGUGGACCUGAGUGAAAACUAUCUACAGUAUCCCCCUGCUGGCCCAGGAACGAAAACAACAGCAACCAAACAUGUCGCCGCAGUUAAUGAACCGAAGUUUCGAAGGAAGCAGAGGAAAGAGACCACAGCUUUCUGCCUCUAAUUAUCCUGUUUGUGCAUCUAAAAAAAAGUGGGCUCUAGCCCACUCAAGUUGCAACAGUGCUCUACCGGGACUCCCUCUCUUCACUGGAUUCUGGAUUUUGCUUUGGAGACAGCAGCACAAUUUGCCUGACAAGCCAAUGUGGAAAGACCUGCUGGAGGAUCGCUGCUCCUACCAGUCACUCUAAACAAGUGUGUCUGAGAACCU
Molecule: long non-coding RNA, 741 nt
Filed under: Podarcis muralis (Common wall lizard)
Lineage: Eukaryota; Metazoa; Chordata; Lepidosauria; Squamata; Lacertidae
Description: lncRNA (ENSPMRG00000013327.1)
Source: RNAcentral